RNAcentral lists this ribosomal RNA (768 nucleotides) under Firmicutes bacterium T17b-64. Its description in RNAcentral is "bacterial SSU rRNA". It matches the Rfam family "Bacterial small subunit ribosomal RNA", at positions 54 to 800 of the family's 1533-position model. The record is from RNAcentral. Lineage: Bacteria; Bacillati; Bacillota.
CAUGCGAGUCGAGCGGAUCUACAUUAGCUUGCUUUUGAAGAUCAGCGGCGCCACUUNGAUGAGUAACACGUUGGGCAACCUGCCUGUAAGACUGGNAUAACUUCGGGAAACCGGAGCUAAUACCGGAUAACCCUUUCCCUCACAUGAGGGAAAGCUGAAAGACGGUUUCGGCUGUCACUUACAGAUGGGCCCGCGGCGCAUUAGCUAGUUGGUGAGGUAACGGCUCACCAAGGCAACGAUGCGUAGCCGACCUGAGAGGNUGAUCGGCCANACUGGGACUGAGACACGGCCCAGACUCCUACGGGAGGCAGCAGUAGGGAAUCUUCCGCAAUGGACGAAAGUCUGACGGAGCAACGCCGCGUGAACGAUGAAGGCUUUCGGGUCGUAAAGUUCUGUUGUCAGGGAAGAACAAGUAUCGGAGUAACUGCCGGUACCUUGACGGUACCUGACCAGAAAGCCACGGCUAACUACGUGCCAGCAGCCGCGGUAAUACGUAGGUGGCAAGCGUUGUCCGGAAUUAUUGGGCGUAAAGCGCGCGCAGGCGGUUCCUUAAGUCUGAUGUGAAAGCCCCCGGCUCAACCGGGGGAGGGUCAUUGGAAACUGGGGAACUUGAGUGCAGAAGAGGAGAGCGGAAUUCCACGUGUAGCGGUGAAAUGCGUAGAGAUGUGGAGGAACACCAGUGGCGAAGGCGGCUCUCUGGUCUGUAACUGACGCUGAGGCGCGAAAGCGUGGGGAGCGAACAGGAUUAGAUACCCUGGUAGUCCACGC